RNAcentral lists this ribosomal RNA (406 nucleotides) under uncultured bacterium. RNAcentral describes it as "partial 16S ribosomal RNA". It matches the Rfam family "Bacterial small subunit ribosomal RNA", at positions 30 to 526 of the family's 1533-position model. The record is from RNAcentral.
AUUGAACGCUGGCGGCAGGCCUAACACAUGCAAGUCGAGCGAGUGGCGGACGGGUGAGUAAUGUCUGGGAAUCUGCCUGAUGGAGGGGGAUAACUUCUGGAAACGGUAGCUAAUACCGCAUACCAUCGGAUGUGCCCAGAUGGGAUUAGCUAGUAGGUGGGGUAAAGGCUCACCUAGGCGACGCUCCCUAGCUGGUCUGAGAGGAUGACCAGCCACACUGGAACUGAGACACGGGCAAGACUCCUACGGGAGGCAGCAGUGGGGAAUAUUGCACAAUGGGCGCAAGCCUGAUGCAGCCAUGCCGCGUGUGUGAAGAAGGCCUUCGGGUUGUAAAGGACUUUCAGCGAGGAGGCGUUACUCGCAGAAGAAGCACCGGCUAACUCCGUGCCAGCAGCCGCGGGAAUAC